CGAAUGAACCAUGUCUCCUGGUGUUCACACCUGUAGUUCUCUUCAUGUUGACUCUGGACUUGGUCAGUGGGACGUUAGCAAGUGUGAAAUGCAAGGAGGAACUUAGUAAGUGCUUGCACACUGGAGUUGAUCUUCUUGGAACACUUGUUCUUAGAAUCCACCUGCCCGGUAAAGAAGCUCAAACUAGGCGUGUGGGGGAUGUGGGGAGAGAGAGAUCACCACCCCCAGCCACCCGCACUAAGGCUCCAGACAUGUGAGUGAAGUCAUCUUGGGCGUUCCAGCCCCCAACACCGUCUGACGGCAAGCACACGAAGGACUUCAGGGGAGAUCAGCAGAAGAACCGCCCAGCUGAGUCCCUAUCAACCCACAGAAUCGUGGCCUAAUAACAUGGUUGUUGUUUAAAUCCACUAAGUUUGUUUUAUAGCAAUAGAUAACCGAAACACUGGGUUAAAAAACACACUUAUUUAACUCAGUUUAAUGUAUGAGCAUUAACUGGUUUUUCAUAUCUGAGAAAUUAGUAUUUUUGGACCUGGUUCAAGCUAUUUAUCAGUAGAUUCUUGACUAUUAUUUACAUCCCUAAUUUAGUCCACCUUCAAAGUGGAGUGUUGCAUUUGGGGUAUGUCCAUUUCAUUAAGGAAAAAGUUCUGAAAAGAGUAUUUGUCCCUUUCUCGUUAGGGCCCCAAGAUCCAGAAAGGCCCAUGGGAGGAAGUGGCCUGGUAAGGAUGUUUAUUUCUGCAGCUUGCGUACACGCGGAACCUGGAAGAAUUUAUAAAUCCAUCAUCUGAAGUCAUUAGGCGACAUGUUGUGGCAUUUGCAUAUCAGCAUAGCCUCUCAAAUCUUAUGUGUAAAUUUUAAGUAGAGCUAAUUUCCUACCAUAAAAUGAUAUGAGAGGACCCAAUGGCAUGUUGAAAACAUCAGUGUCAAACCAGAGCAUCUAGCUUUAUAUUUCAGAAAAACUACCCAAGGGAGUGAUUUGGAAGAAUAGAUUACAAUGGAGAAAAACUAGAGAUGGAGACAGCGGUGAGGAAGUCAGCGUAGAAAUCCAUAAAAGAGAGCAAGGAAGUUCUGUACUGGAGCAGCAGAAACGAGAGCUUGGAGAAAAGGAUCCUUAUGGAGGUAUCUUGAGGUAGGAACAGGCAUG
Trichechus manatus latirostris (Florida manatee) is the source of this 1141-nucleotide long non-coding RNA. RefSeq lists it as uncharacterized. NCBI's taxonomy places the organism in Eukaryota, Metazoa, Chordata, Mammalia, Sirenia, Trichechidae. The transcript has 3 exons. The record is from RefSeq and is a predicted model, not a curated record.